RNAcentral lists this ribosomal RNA (370 nucleotides) under uncultured Selenomonas sp. RNAcentral's name for it is "bacterial SSU rRNA". It matches the Rfam family "Bacterial small subunit ribosomal RNA", at positions 527 to 896 of the family's 1533-position model. The record is from RNAcentral. Lineage: Bacteria; Bacillati; Bacillota; Negativicutes; Selenomonadales; Selenomonadaceae.
GUAGGUGSCGAGCGUUGUCCGGAAUCAUUGGGCGUAAAGGGAGCGCAGGCGGUCAUGUAAGUCUUACUUAAAAGUUCGGGGCUCAACCCCGUGAUGGGUAAGAAACUAUAUGACUUGAGUACAGGAGAGGAAAGCGGAAUUCCCAGUGUAGCGGUGAAAUGCGUAGAUAUUGGGAGGAACACCAGUGGCGAAGGCGGCUUUCUGGACUGCAACUGACGCUGAGGCUCGAAAGCCAGGGGAGCGAACGGGAUUAGAUACCCCGGUAGUCCUGGCCGUAAACGAUGGAUACUAGGUGUGGGAGGUAUCGACCCCUACCGUGCCGGAGUUAACGCAAUAAGUAUCCCGCCUGGGGAGUACGGYCGCAAGGCUG